CACGCCGUAAACGAUGAUGACUAACUAUAGCCGUGAGGCUGUGGUGAAGCAAACGCAUUAAGUCAUCCGCCUGGGAAGUACGGUCGCAAGACUGAAACUUAAAGGAAUUGACGGGUCCCCGCACAAGCAGUGGAGCAUGAGGUUUAAUUCGACGCUACGCGAAGAACCUUACCAGAACUUGACAUGGCGGAUAAUGCUGCAGAAAUGCAGAGAUAAUACCCGCACACAGGUGG
This 233-nucleotide ribosomal RNA is filed under the name uncultured bacterium. RNAcentral describes it as "partial 16S ribosomal RNA". It matches the Rfam family "Bacterial small subunit ribosomal RNA", at positions 796 to 1041 of the family's 1533-position model. The record is from RNAcentral.